GGUACCCCCACCCCUUCACCCAGAUCAGCCCGCUGGCCCAGGUACCCCCACCCCUUCACCCAGAUCAGCCCGCUGGCCCAGGUACCCCCACGCCUUCACCCAGAUCAGCCAGCUGUACCCCCACUCCUUCACCCAGAUCAGCCCGCUGUACCCCCACGCCUUCACCCAGAUCAGCCCGCUGUACCCCCACUCCUUCACCAGCCUGGUCUAAAGGAAAGGGCAGUUUAUAUGUCGAGUGCUUCAUGUUGUGUUGGUCAUACUUAAGAAAGAUGUAUUGCUUUUUUAAUGAAUAACACAGAACAUAAGGGACUUAAUCAAUUAAAAAAAACUAAAAA
Molecule: long non-coding RNA, 335 nt
Organism: Gadus macrocephalus (Pacific cod)
Lineage: Eukaryota; Metazoa; Chordata; Actinopteri; Gadiformes; Gadidae
Exons: 2
Source: RefSeq, a predicted model, not a curated record